This 404-nucleotide ribosomal RNA is filed under the name uncultured bacterium. Its description in RNAcentral is "partial 16S ribosomal RNA". It matches the Rfam family "Bacterial small subunit ribosomal RNA", at positions 28 to 526 of the family's 1533-position model. The record is from RNAcentral.
GACGAACGCUGGCGGCGUGCUUAACACAUGCAAGUCGAGCGGAGCGGCGAACGGGUGAGUAACGCGUGAGUAACUGCCCCCUUCCUGGGAUAACAGUUGGAAACCGGUGCUAAUAACGGGAAGUGGGGGCUGACCCGCCGCCUAUCCGCCUGUUGGUGGGGUAGUGGCCUACCAAGGCGACGACGGGUAGGCGGCCUGAGGGGGGGACCGGCCACAUUGGGCUGAGAUACGGCCCAAACUCCUACGGGAGGCAGCAGUGGGGAAUAUUGCACAAUGGGGGAAACCCUGAUGCAGCAACGCCGCGUGCGGGAUGACGGCCUUCGGGUUGUAAACCGCUUUCAGCCAUGACGCGGUAGUGGCAGAAGAAGCACCGGCUAACUACGUGCCAGCAGCCGCGGUAAUUC